RNAcentral lists this ribosomal RNA (756 nucleotides) under Methanomethylovorans sp. enrichment culture clone B13-A-97. Its description in RNAcentral is "bacterial SSU rRNA". It matches the Rfam family "Archaeal small subunit ribosomal RNA", at positions 102 to 859 of the family's 1478-position model. The record is from RNAcentral. Lineage: Archaea; Methanobacteriati; Methanobacteriota; Methanomicrobia; Methanosarcinales; Methanosarcinaceae.
GGAUAACCUGCCCUUAGGUCUGGCAUAACCCCGGGAAACUGGGGAUAAUUCCGGAUAGAUCAUAGAUGCUGGAAUGCGCUUUGAUCCAAAGCUAUUGUGCCUAAGGAUGGGUCUGCGGUCUAUCAGGUUGUAGUGGGUGUAAUGUACCUACUAGCCUACGACGGAUACGGGUUGCGGGAGCAAGAGCCCGGAGAUGGAUUCUGAGACAUGAAUCCAGGCCCUACGGGGCGCAGCAAGCGCGAAAACUUUACAAUGCGGGAAACCGCGAUAAGGGGACACCGAGUGCCAGCAUCCUAUGUUGGCUGUCCAUAUGUCUAAAUCACAUGUGUUAGCAAGGGCCGGGCAAGACCGGUGCCAGCCGCCGCGGUAACACCGGCGGCCCGAGUGGUGGCCACUAUUAUUGGGUCUAAAGGGUCCGUAGCCGGUUUGGUCAGUCUUCCGGGAAAUCUGACGGCUCAACCGUUAGGCUUUCGGGGGAUACUACCAGGCUUGGGACCGGGAGAGGUAAGAGGUACUACGGGGGCAGGAGUGAAAUCUUGUAAUCCCUGUGGGACCACCAGUGGCGAAGGCGUCUUACCAGAACGGGUCCGACGGUGAGGGACGAAAGCUGGGGGCACGAACCGGAUUAGAUACCCGGGUAGUCCCAGCUGUAAACUAUGCUCGCUAGGUGUCAGGGACGGUGCGACCGUUUCUGGUGCCGCAGGGAAGCCGUGAAGCGAGCCACCUGGGAAGUACGGUCGCAAGGCUGAAACUUAA